CUUACAAUUAGCUCUCUUAACAGCUUGAUUGGAGAGGAGAAGGCUGCCAGUGACCACAGGGGUGCAGCCUGUCCCCUGCAUGGUCCCCACGAUGCAUCAGGAGCUGGGAGCAUCUAGGGGCAAAAUAAGAAAUGAGGCCAGGACUGAGCUUUUCGUUUGCCAAUUUUGACCUGCAAAGCCUGGGGCUGCUUCCCCCUAGCACAGGGGAAGGACAGCCUGAAGGACUGUGGGGACAUGCAUCACGUCAGGUUUCCUUGGGUCCAGGGAGCAGCUCGGCUGACCGGCAGAUGAGGUUGUGGCCACCCCGCUGCUGGCUAACUGCAGCUACUUCUGCCAGCCAGUGGACUAGAGAUGGAGCAAGCAUGGAAUGAGGGCAUCUUCCUGGAGACAGGUAGGCACUGUGGAAUCAGCAGUGCGUAGAACAGUGAGGAAUUAGGGCUGAACCCAGCCCAGGUGGGACAAGCCCUGGCACCAGCCGACUGCAGUCUGAUGGAACUUCCCCUUCCUGCCCAGCAGAUGGCGAGCGUGUGCUGCUGGUGCCUCUUUCCAAAGGAUGUUGAAUUGUUUGACAGCCCUGCCCAGCAUCUAGAAGACCACCUGAAGCUUUCACAUUAUGAGACCUUAGAUCCUGCGAGGGUUUGAAUUUCAAAAGCCUCAAUUAAAGCACACAGUGUUCUUUACUUUAUGAAUGAAACCAGAGCAGCCCACCUUCCUGCAUCUCUACCACCAUGGCACCAUGCCCUGUGAAGGGUGAGCUGGAGUCAAAUACGUAGCAGGCAGCCAGGGUCAGUUUGUGGCCACUGCUGCCUCCUCUUCCUAUGGUCUCCUCACUGAGUGCCCCUUCCCUGUUGGGUUCAACAUGUCUAUGCUCCUGUAAGCCCUCAGCCUCCUCGUUCUCUUCCUCAACUUCUACCACCAGACACACCUGAGAGGCAAGCAAGAGAGGCUAAACUAGGAGCAGGACCCAGGGACUGAAACCAGCACAGCAUCCCCACAGAGAAUUGGGUGGAAGGCAGCAUGGCUUCCAGCUUACUGGUGCCGAGCAGAUUCCCCUGGGUCUCCAUUGUAUCCUCUGAAGGAAGGAGGAGGAUUGCCUUCUGUCCAGAUCUCAGGAUCAAACAAAUAGGUCCAACUUCCUGUGCUCACUUCAGUUAGAGCACUUCUCAUGUGACUUUGUAGCUUUGUGUGCAUCUCCUUCCUCUACUAGACCUAAGCCCCUCACUGGAAGGACUCUCUUAUUCUUGAUGUUCCCCACAUCUGGAAUUUCAAUAAACAUCUCAA
Molecule: small RNA, 1281 nt
Filed under: Pongo abelii (Sumatran orangutan)
Lineage: Eukaryota; Metazoa; Chordata; Mammalia; Primates; Hominidae
Description: sense overlapping
Source: RNAcentral